CAGUCGAACGGCAGCACGGGCUUCGGCCUGGUGGCGAGUGGCGAACGGGUGAGUAAUGCAUCGGAACGUACCGUGUAAUGGGGGAUAACGUAGCGAAAGUUACGCUAAUACCGCAUACGCCCUGAGGGGGAAAGCGGGGGAUCGUAAGACCUCGCGUUAUACGAGCGGCCGAUGUCGGAUUAGCUAGUUGGUGGGGUAAAGGCCUACCAAGGCGACGAUCCGUAGCGGGUCUGAGAGGAUGAUCCGCCACACUGGGACUGAGACACGGCCCAGACUCCUACGGGAGGCAGCAGUGGGGAAUUUUGGACAAUGGGCGCAAGCCUGAUCCAGCCAUGCCGCGUGAGUGAAGAAGGCCUUCGGGUUGUAAAGCUCUUUCAGACGGAAAGAAAUCGCGCGCUCUAACAUAGCGCGUGGAUGACGGUACCGUAAGAAGAAGCACCG
Molecule: ribosomal RNA, 441 nt
Filed under: Betaproteobacteria bacterium
Lineage: Bacteria; Pseudomonadati; Pseudomonadota; Betaproteobacteria
Description: bacterial SSU rRNA
Rfam family: Bacterial small subunit ribosomal RNA
Source: RNAcentral